CCUACGGGAGGCAGCAGUGGGGAAUUUUGCGCAAUGGGGGAAACCNUGACGCAGCAACGCCGCGUGGAGGAUGAAGUAUCUUGGUACGUAAACUCCUUUCGAUGGGGAAGAUAAUGACGGUACCCAUAGAAGAAGCCCCGGCUAACUUCGUGCCAGCAGCCGCGGUAAU
This 169-nucleotide ribosomal RNA is filed under the name uncultured bacterium. RNAcentral describes it as "partial 16S ribosomal RNA". It matches the Rfam family "Bacterial small subunit ribosomal RNA", at positions 338 to 524 of the family's 1533-position model. The record is from RNAcentral.